Molecule: ribosomal RNA, 427 nt
Filed under: uncultured bacterium
Lineage: Bacteria
Description: bacterial SSU rRNA
Rfam family: Bacterial small subunit ribosomal RNA
Source: RNAcentral
UGGGGAAUCUUGGACAAUGGGGGAAACCCUGAUCCAGCGAUGCCGCGUGUGUGAAGAAGGCCUACGGGUUGUAAAGCACUUUUGUUGGGGAAGAGAGGUACAAUGUAAAUAAUGUUGUACUGAGACGGUACCCAAAGAAUAAGCACCGGCUAACUCUGUGCCAGCAGCCGCGGUGAGACAGAGGGUGCAAGCGUUAAUCGGAAUGAUUGGGCGUAAAGGGCGCGUAGGCGGCCGAUUAAGUUAGUUGUGAAAGGUACAGGCUUAACCUGUGAUGUGCAACUAAUACUGAUUGGCUAGAGUUUGGCAGAGGUAAGUGGAAUUCCCAGUGUAGCGGUGAAAUGCGUAGAUAUUGGGAGGAACACCAGUGGCGAAGGCGGCUUACUGGGCUAAAACAGACGCUGAGGCGCGAAAGCAUGGGGAGCGAACA